This 467-nucleotide ribosomal RNA is filed under the name uncultured bacterium. Its description in RNAcentral is "partial 16S ribosomal RNA". It matches the Rfam family "Bacterial small subunit ribosomal RNA", at positions 28 to 506 of the family's 1533-position model. The record is from RNAcentral.
GACGAACGCUGGCGGCGUGCUUAACACAUGCAAGUCGAACGGAAAGGCCCUGCUUUUGUGGGGUGCUCGAGUGGCGAACGGGUGAGUAACACGUGAGUAACCUGCCCUUGACUUUGGGAUAACUUCAGGAAACUGGGGCUAAUACCGGAUAGGAGCUCCUGCUGCAUGGUGGGGGUUGGAAAGUUUCGGCGGUUGGGGAUGGACUCGCGGCUUAUCAGCUUGUUGGUGGGGUAGUGGCUUACCAGGGCUUUGACGGGUAGCCGGCCUGAGAGGGUGACCGGCCACAUUGGGACUGAGAUACGGCCCAGACGCCUACGGGAGGCAGCAGUGGGGAAUAUUGCACAAUGGGCGGAAGCCUGAUGCAGCAACGCCGCGUGCGGGAGGACGGCCUUCGGGUUGUAAACCGCUUUCGCCUGUGACGAAGCGUGAGUGACGGUAAUGGGUAAAGAAGCACCGGCUAACUACGU